UACUUUUUUUGAACAUCAAACUUACUGCUUGGAAGGCAGUUGUACAAAUUUAUACUGAAAAAGC
Molecule: transfer RNA, 64 nt
Filed under: Lamellibrachia donwalshi
Lineage: Eukaryota; Metazoa; Annelida; Polychaeta; Sabellida; Siboglinidae
Description: tRNA-Gly
Source: RNAcentral